UAUCCUUGGAGUGGCGCACGGGUGCGUAACACGUAUGCAAUCUGCCCCUAACAGGGGAAUAGCCCGGCGAAAGUCGGAUUAAUACCCCAUAACAAUGCGAACCGGCAUCGGUUUGUUUUUAAAGCUCCGGCGGUUAGGGAUGAGCAUGCGCGACAUUAGCUAGAUGGCGGGGUAACGGCCCACCAUGGCUACGAUGUCUAGGGGGUCUGAGAGGAUUUUCCCCCACACUGGUACUGAGACACGGACCAGACUCCUACGGGAGGCAGCAGUAGGGAAUAUUGGGCAAUGGACGCAAGUCUGACCCAGCCAUGCCGCGUGAAGGAUGAAGGCCCUAUGGGUUGUAAACUUCUUUUGUACGGGAAGAAACCCCUCUACGUGUAGGGGGCUGACGGUACCGUAAGAAUAAGGAUCGGCUAACUCCGUGCCAGCAGCCGCGGUAAUACGGAGGAUCCAAGCGUUGUCCGGAUUUAUUGGGUUUAAAGGGUGCGUAGGCGGAUUAUUAAGUCAGAGGUGAAAGUUUGCAGCUUAACUGUAAAAUUGCCUUUGAAACUGGUAGUCUUGAGUAUAGUUGAGGUGGGCGGAAUGUGUCAUGUAGCGGUGAAAUGCUUAGAUAUGAUACAGAACACCGAUUGCGAAGGCAGCUCACUAAACUGUAACUGACGCUGAGGCACGAAAGCGUGGGGAGCAAACAGGAUUAGAUACCCUGGUAGUCCACGCCCUAAACGUUGAAUACUCGUUGUUGGCGAUAUACAGUCAGCGACUAAGCGAAAGCAUUAAGUAUUCCACCUGGGGAGUACGACCGCAAGGU
RNAcentral lists this ribosomal RNA (808 nucleotides) under uncultured bacterium. RNAcentral's name for it is "bacterial SSU rRNA". It matches the Rfam family "Bacterial small subunit ribosomal RNA", at positions 85 to 894 of the family's 1533-position model. The record is from RNAcentral.